RNAcentral lists this ribosomal RNA (520 nucleotides) under uncultured bacterium. Its description in RNAcentral is "bacterial SSU rRNA". It matches the Rfam family "Bacterial small subunit ribosomal RNA", at positions 26 to 518 of the family's 1533-position model. The record is from RNAcentral.
AGGACGAACGCUGGCGGCGUGCCUAAUACAUGCAAGUCGAACGGUCUUUCUAUGGAAGCUUGCUUCCACUGAGAAGAUAGUGGCGAACGGGUGAGUAACACGUGGGUAACCUGCCCAUAAGAGGGGGGAUAACAUCCGGAAACGGGUGCUAGUACCGCAUAGUUUUCUUGAUCGCAUGAUCGGGAAAGGAAAGACGGCCUUUGUGCUGUCGCUUAUGGAUGGACCCGCGGCGUAUUAGUUAGUUGGUGAGGUAACGGCUCACCAAGACGAUGAUACGUAGCCGACCUGAGAGGGUGAUCGGCCACAUUGGGACUGAGACACGGCCCAAACUCCUACGGGAGGCAGCAGUAGGGAAUCUUCCGCAAUGGACGAAAGUCUGACGGAGCAACGCCGCGUGAGUGAAAGAAGGUUUUCGGAUCGUAAAACUCUGUUGUCAGAGAAGAACAAGUUGGAGAGUAACUGCUCCAGCCUUGACGGUAUCUGACCAGAAAGCCACGGCUAACUACGUGCCAGCCGCGGC